RNAcentral lists this ribosomal RNA (274 nucleotides) under uncultured bacterium. RNAcentral describes it as "partial 16S ribosomal RNA". It matches the Rfam family "Bacterial small subunit ribosomal RNA", at positions 523 to 796 of the family's 1533-position model. The record is from RNAcentral.
AUACGGAGGGUGCAAGCGUUUUUCGGAAUCACUGGGCGUAAAGGGUGCGUAGGCGGUUUGAUAAUUCUGAUGUGAAAUCCUAUGGCUCAACCAUAGAACUGCAUUGGAAACUGUCAGACUAGAAUACUGAAGGGGCAGAUGGAAUUAGUGGUGUAGGGGUAAAAUCCGUAGAUAUCACUAGGAAUACCGAAAGCGAAAGCGAUCUGCUGGGAAGUUAUUGACGCUGAGGCACGAAAGCGUGGGGAGCAAACGGGAUUAGAAACCCCAGUAGUCC